CCUACGGGGGGCUGCAGUAAGGAAUAUUGCUCAAUGGCCGAAAGGCUGAAGCAGCAACGCCGCGUGGAGGAUGAAAUACUUUUGUAUGUAAACUCCUGUAAGAGGGGAAAAAUAUACAGUUUAUACUGUGUUGAUUGUACCCUCAGAGUAAGCACCGGCUAACUACGUGCCAGCAGCCGCGGUAAUACGUAGGGUGCUAGAGUUGUCCGGAUUUACUGGGUGUAAAGGGUGCUCAGGUGGGUUUGUAAGUCAGAGGUGAAAUCCCAAAGCUUAACUUUGGAGCUGCCUUUGAUACUGCAAGUCUGGAGUUUGAGAGAGGGCAAUGGAAUAUCUGGUGUAGCAGUGAAAUGCGUAGAUAUCAGAUAGAACACCAAUGGCGAAGGCAGUUGCCUGGCUCAAAACUGACGCUAAAGCACGAAAGUGUGGGGAGCAAACAGGAUUAGAUACCCCGGUAGUC
RNAcentral lists this ribosomal RNA (457 nucleotides) under uncultured bacterium. RNAcentral describes it as "bacterial SSU rRNA". It matches the Rfam family "Bacterial small subunit ribosomal RNA", at positions 338 to 795 of the family's 1533-position model. The record is from RNAcentral.